UACGUAGGAUGCAAGCGUUGUCCGGAAUUAUUGGGCGUAAAGAGCGCGCAGGCGGUAUGACAAGUCAGAUGUGAAAGAGGCCGGCUUAACCGGCAAGGGUCAUUUGAAACUGUCAGACUAGAGUGCAGCAGAGGAUAGUGGAAUUCCCGGUGUAGUGGUGAAAUGCGUAGAUAUCGGGAGGAACACCAGUGGCGAAGGCGACUAUCUGGGCUGCAACUGACGCUGAGGCGCGAAGGCUAGGGGAGCAAACGGG
This 253-nucleotide ribosomal RNA is filed under the name uncultured bacterium. RNAcentral's name for it is "partial 16S ribosomal RNA". It matches the Rfam family "Bacterial small subunit ribosomal RNA", at positions 524 to 776 of the family's 1533-position model. The record is from RNAcentral.